CCCGCUGAACUUAAGCAUAUCAAUAAGCGGAGGAAAAGAAACUAACAAGGAUUCCCCUAGUAACUGCGAGUGAACCGGGAAAAGCUCAAAUUUUGAAUCUGGCGGUCUUCAGGCCGUCCGAGUUGUAAUCUAGAGAAGCGUCUUCCGCGCUGGACCGUGUAUAAGUUUCCUGGAAUGGAACGUCGUAGAGGGUGAGAAUCCCGUCUUUGACACGGACUGCCAGGGCUAUGUGAUGCGCUCUCGACGAGUCGAGUUGUUUGGGAAUGCAGCUCAAAUAGGGUGGUAAAUUCCAUCUAAAGCUAAAUACAGGCGAGAGACCGAUAGCGAACAAGUACCGUGAGGGAAAGAUGAAAAGAACUUUGGAAAGAGAGUUAAACAGUACGUGAAAUUACUGAAAGGGAAACGCUUGAUGUCAGUCGCGUCGUCCGGGGAUCAGCCUUGCUCUUUUGCUCGGUGUAUUUCCUGGUCGACGGGUCAGCAUCGGUUUUGACCGUCGGAAAAUGGCUCGAGGAAUGUGGCACUCUUCGGAGUGUGUUAUAGACUCGGGUCGAAUACGGCGAUUGGGACCGAGGAACUCAGCACGACCUUAGGGUUCGGGGCUUCGGCCCACGUUAACGUGCUUAGGAUGCUGGCAUAAUGGCCUUAAGCGACCCGUCUUGAAACACGG
This 667-nucleotide ribosomal RNA is filed under the name uncultured fungus. RNAcentral's name for it is "eukaryotic LSU rRNA". It matches the Rfam family "Eukaryotic large subunit ribosomal RNA", at positions 24 to 664 of the family's 3401-position model. Lineage: Eukaryota; Fungi. The record is from RNAcentral.